UACGUAGGUGGCAAGCGUUGUCCGGAUUUAUUGGGUUUAAAGGGUGCGUAGGCGGUUCUAUAAGUCAGUGGUGAAAUCCGGCAGCUCAACUGUCGAUGUGCCAUUGAUACUGCAGAACUUGAGUACAGACGAGGUAGGCGGAAUUGACGGUGUAGCGGUGAAAUGCGUAGAUAUCGGGAGGAACACCAGUGGCGAAGGCGGCUGUCUGGGCCAGUUCUGACGCUGAGGCGCGAAAGCGUGGGGAGCAAACAGG
RNAcentral lists this ribosomal RNA (253 nucleotides) under uncultured bacterium. RNAcentral describes it as "partial 16S ribosomal RNA". It matches the Rfam family "Bacterial small subunit ribosomal RNA", at positions 524 to 776 of the family's 1533-position model. The record is from RNAcentral.